RNAcentral lists this ribosomal RNA (496 nucleotides) under uncultured bacterium. Its description in RNAcentral is "partial 16S ribosomal RNA". It matches the Rfam family "Bacterial small subunit ribosomal RNA", at positions 28 to 506 of the family's 1533-position model. The record is from RNAcentral.
GAUGAACGCUGGCGGCGUGCCUAAUACAUGCAAGUCGAGCGAACAGACGAGGAGCUUGCUCCUCUGACGUUAGCGGCGGACGGGUGAGUAACACGUGGAUAACCUACCUAUAAGACUGGGAUAACUUCGGGAAACCGGAGCUAAUACCGGAUAAUAUAUUGAACCGCAUGGUUCAAUAGUGAAAGACGGUUUUGCUGUCACUUAUAGAUGGAUCCGCGCCGCAUUAGCUAGUUGGUAAGGUAACGGCUUACCAAGGCAACGAUGCGUAGCCGACCUGAGAGGGUGAUCGGCCACACUGGACCUGAGACACGGUCCAGACUCCUACGGGAGGCAGCAGUAGGGAAUCUUCCGCAGUGGGCGAAAGCCUGACGGAGCAACGCCGCGUGAGUGAUGAAGGUCUUCGGAUCGUAAAACUCUGUUAUUAGGGAAGAACAAAUGUGUAAGUAACUAUGCACGUCUUGACGGUACCUAAGCAGAAAGCCACGGCUAACUACGU